RNAcentral lists this long non-coding RNA (1131 nucleotides) under Marmota monax (woodchuck). Lineage: Eukaryota; Metazoa; Chordata; Mammalia; Rodentia; Sciuridae. The record is from RNAcentral.
UUGUUAAAUAAAUUAUAGUUUUUAACCAUCUGAAGAAAAAUUAUUUUACAACUUUAAGACUGUACACAGUUAGAAAGAUAAGCCCCAAAAAUUAGUGAUGAAAAGACUACCAGGGAUGAAAAGGCUGAUAGAGAGGGACAGAUGAGGAGUAGGGAGUAAAGGUAAAUGAGACCUGGGUGGUGGGAUGGGUGGGUGUGAGAGGAAUGUAGGGGGGUGGAGGUGUGUGUAAACAGGGUGUGCUUAGAUAUGAAAAUUAAAUUGUUAAGACAGAGUUCCCCAAAAAACUAAUUGUUGACCCUGAAAGUCCUUUAUUUCAUUAAGAAGUGAAUCAACUGUAAAUAGAGAAGUCAAUGGGAUUUAGGAAAAGAUUGGCUCAGGGUGGGCUGCAUUAGUUGGAAUAGACUACUGUGAGCAGGGUAGCUCCCUUAUCUAUGUGCCCCUCCCUUUUCAAAAAUGCAUGACAAUCAGCUCUUUCCACUCCUUAAAAUUUCAGUUCUUGCCAGCCUCAGCAACUUUGCAAGGCCUUAAGCAAUUCAGCAAGACCCUGUCACAGAACUUCUUGGGAUGUGACUCAGUGGUUAAGCCCCCUUGGUUUCAAUCCCCAGUAAAAAAAAAAAAAAAAAAAAAGUUUGGUUCUCAGAGGAAAAUUUUGCAUUAAUAACUAGGUUGUGCUGUUCUUGUGGGUAUUAAAUUACAUAACCUACUUGAGUUUUAAAAUUGUUCUCCCAUACCUAAUCUCAUCUGAUCUUUCCAAUCACUCUGUGGGAUUAGCAAGAUGGGUGUUAACCCUGAGGAUACUUGAAGAAGUUAAGAAAUCACCCAAAGCUAAAUGUUGGAUCAUAAAUCUUGAGACAGAACUGAAAAAGGCACAUUUCCUGGAAACACUACCAAUUCUCCUCCAACUGCUACUUUGAAAAGGUAAGAGUACAACUAUGCAAUGAAAAUAGCUGGAGUAUGGACACAGGGGUUUGGGGAAAGGGUGUUAAGUGAAGGGUAAGAUUCAAACUAUACUGCAGUUUUGUUCGUGGUGGAGGAGAACUGGACAGGGAGGAAAUGAAGACAGACAUGAAUGAGGUACACCUUUCAACUCGGCAAUGGGCUAAAGAAGGAGGCAAGCAUUUUCCCUCUUUU